AAUGUUGUGCCUUCACAGAAUUUAAAUUGGCAUUAGGAAUAGACUUCCUUGAUUUAGUAAUGAUAUUGCUCAUAGAAAUUGAUAAUGUGAAGAAUAACAAUACAGGAACAUAGAAUAACAAGAAAGAAAUUCUAGCAGCAAGUUAGGGACACAGUAAAAAGACAAAACAUUUAGACCCUUUGAAAGAGAAAUGUUUGCAAUGGAUAUUAAUAAAUUCUAGCCAAUUUGUAUGAUGUACAAUGCAGGCAAUAUUUCUGCCUCCUAACGUACUAUUCGCGUAAAAGAAGAUGUGGGUAUUGUAUUUAUAGGUAGUUAAUGAUACAUGGAAUAUAUUUCUAUAUUAUUGCAAUAACAAUGUCUUUAUGUUGUAUUUUUUUAGAACGGGUUUAUUAUUAGUUGGCUAGUGUGUUAGUAGGAUAGCCAUUAGUAGUUAUAAAGUAUGAAGUCGUCAGGUAUUAAUAAUAGGAAUUGAUCAAAGCUUAUACAUUUAUUGUGAUAUUUAUAUUGUGAAUUUAAGUAGUUAGAGUUUUGGUUGUUUAAUAAACGAAUUAAUGUG
This is a long non-coding RNA of Sitophilus oryzae (rice weevil), 556 nucleotides long. RefSeq lists it as uncharacterized. Lineage: Eukaryota; Metazoa; Arthropoda; Insecta; Coleoptera; Curculionidae. The transcript has 2 exons. The record is from RefSeq and is a predicted model, not a curated record.